Non-coding RNA from Xyrauchen texanus (razorback sucker), 425 nucleotides. The record is from the annotation of a RefSeq genome assembly. NCBI's taxonomy places the organism in Eukaryota, Metazoa, Chordata, Actinopteri, Cypriniformes, Catostomidae.
CAGAACACAAUCUUCAUCAUCACACAACACAAACAACAACAAUGACCUUCAGCAUCAUCUUCAUCUGCACACUGACUCUCUGCAUUCAGAAUAUAUUUGGACAAGUGACAGUGACUCAGGAUCCAGCAAUAAAAUCAGUAAAACAAGGAGAAACUGUUCAAAUCAGCUGUAAAACCAGACAGCUGAUUUCUGGCUGUAGUGACUGUGUUUCUUGGUAUCUGCAGAAACCUGGAGAAGCUCCUAAACUCCUCAUUUAUGACAUAAAAACUCUUCAGUCUGGAACUCCAUCUAGAUUCAGUGGCAGUGGAUCAAACUAUGGAACUGAUUUCACUCUGAGCAUCAGUGGAGUCCAGACUGAAGAUUCAGGAGAUUAUUACUGUCAGAGUUAUCACAACAUCAACAGUAAACGUGUGUUCACACAGUGA